Molecule: ribosomal RNA, 20 nt
Filed under: Dicranoloma dicarpon
Lineage: Eukaryota; Viridiplantae; Streptophyta; Bryopsida; Dicranales; Dicranaceae
Description: Dicranoloma dicarpum partial 26S ribosomal RNA
Source: RNAcentral
ACCUGCGCGAAGGAUCAUUG